This is a non-coding RNA of Podarcis lilfordi (Lilford's wall lizard), 74 nucleotides long. Lineage: Eukaryota; Metazoa; Chordata; Lepidosauria; Squamata; Lacertidae. The record is from the annotation of a GenBank genome assembly.
GCUUGGAUAGCUCAGUUGGUUAGAGUGCAGGGCUGGUAACACCAAGGUUGCAGGUUCGAUCCCCGUAUGGGACA